ACGUCAAGUCCUCAUGGCCCUUAUGGGUUGGGCUACACACGUGCUACAAUGGCGGUGACAAUGGGAUGCAACGGGGCGACCCCGAGCAAAUCUCCAAAAGCCGUCUCAGUUCGGAUUGCACUCUGCAACUCGAGUGCAUGAAGUCGGAAUCGCUAGUAAUCGCGGAUCAGCAUGCCGCGGUGAAUACGUUCCCGGGCCUU
This 200-nucleotide ribosomal RNA is filed under the name uncultured organism. RNAcentral describes it as "partial small subunit ribosomal RNA". It matches the Rfam family "Bacterial small subunit ribosomal RNA", at positions 1182 to 1382 of the family's 1533-position model. The record is from RNAcentral.